CAAGACCUGCGCUUUUGGAGCGGCCGAUGUCUGAUUAGCUUGUUGGUGAGGUAAAGGCUUACCAAGGCUUCGAUCAGUAGCUGGUCUGAGAGGACGGCCAGCCACACUGGGACUGAGACACGGCCCAGACUCCUACGGGAGGCAGCAGUGGGGAAUUUUGGACAAUGGGGGCAACCCUGAUCCAGCCAUGCCGCGUGAGUGAAGAAGGCCUUCGGGUUGUAAAGCUCUUCCAGCCGGAACGAAACGGUUACGGUUAAUACCCGUGACUACUGACGGUACCGGAAGAAGAAGCACCGGCUAACUACGUGCCAGCAGCCGCGGUAAUACGUAGGGUGCAAGCGUUAAUCGGAAUUACUGGGCGUAAAGCGUGCGCAGGUGGUUUUGUAAGUCAGAUGUGAAAUCCCCGGGCUUAACCUGGGAACU
Molecule: ribosomal RNA, 423 nt
Filed under: uncultured bacterium
Lineage: Bacteria
Description: bacterial SSU rRNA
Rfam family: Bacterial small subunit ribosomal RNA
Source: RNAcentral